Molecule: ribosomal RNA, 254 nt
Filed under: uncultured prokaryote
Description: partial 16S ribosomal RNA
Rfam family: Bacterial small subunit ribosomal RNA
Source: RNAcentral
UACGGAGGAUCCGAGCGUUAUCCGGAUUUAUUGGGUUUAAAGGGUGCGCAGGCGGCUUUUUAAGUCAGCGGUGAAAUUUUGCAGCUUAACUGUAACAGUGCCGUUGAUACUGUUUGGCUAGGAUUUGGUUGUAGUGUGCGGAAUGUGUGGUGUAGCGGUGAAAUGCUUAGAUAUCACACAGAACACCGAUUGCGAAGGCAGCACACUAAGUCAUUAUUGACGCUGAGGCACGAGAGUGUGGGGAUCAAACAGGA